Malania oleifera is the source of this 106-nucleotide small nucleolar RNA. The record is from RefSeq and is a predicted model, not a curated record. Lineage: Eukaryota; Viridiplantae; Streptophyta; Magnoliopsida; Santalales; Ximeniaceae.
ACUUGAUGAUGUGGAAAUUUAUGUAGAAGGUCCUUAAAACACUCCCAAGUCUCAAAGAAUGGCUCACCUUCUAUCUGGAAAAAAUUAGUGAUGGUCUUCCUAAGCU